RNA transcript from Microtus oregoni (creeping vole), 3191 nucleotides. It is a transcript of the gene named sodium/potassium transporting ATPase interacting 2, with no coding region annotated. The transcript is spliced from 8 exons. The record is from RefSeq and is a predicted model, not a curated record. Lineage: Eukaryota; Metazoa; Chordata; Mammalia; Rodentia; Cricetidae.
GGGGGCUCGACGGUGGCCGACGUGGGACAGUCUGGCUGUGGCAGGGGUCUCGGAAACCAUGGGUUAUUGCAGUGGCAGGUGCACGCUUAUCUUUAUCUGUGGCAUGCAACUGGUUUGUGUGCUGGAGAGGCAAAUAUUUGACUUCCUUGGAUAUCAGUGGGCACCUAUCCUGGCAAAUUUUGUACAUAUUAUCAUCGUCAUCCUUGGUUUGUUUGGAACUAUUCAGUAUAGACCUCGUUACAUAACAGGAUACGCUGUCUGGCUAGUCCUCUGGGUGGCAUGGAAUGUGUUUGUUAUCUGCUUCUAUUUGGAGGCGGGGGAUCUCUCAAAGGAAACAGACCUUAUCCUGACAUUUAAUAUUUCAAUGCACCGAUCUUGGUGGAUGGAGAAUGGACCAGGAUGUAUGGUGACAUCUGUGACGCCUGCCCCCGACUGGGCCCCAGAAGACCAUCGAUACAUCACUGUCUCAGGGUGUUUUCUGGAGUACCAGUACAUAGAAGUGGCUCAUAGUUCCCUCCAGAUCAUCCUCGCACUGGCGGGCUUCAUCUACGCCUGUUACGUCGUGAAAUGCAUCACUGAAGAAGAGGACAGCUUUGACUUCAUAGGUGGCUUUGAUUCUUAUGGCUAUCAAGGGCCUCAGAAGACAUCUCACUUACAACUACAACCAAUGUACAUGCAAAUUCCCUUGGAUAACAACUGAUAGCAAAUUCUAUAUCUCAGCAUCAAGUGAUAUGCUGAAUUGCAAGAGAAGAUCAAAAUAGAAAGUCAAAAUAACACAGAUGACUUCUGUCUGUCAGCCCAUGGAUUUCUCAAUUGACUUGUGCAGUGGCCUCCUGCCUUUUAUGAAGAGCAAGAAGCAAAUGAAUUUAAAUACACACACACGUUAUUACCAGACCAAACGGGAAGUUUCUACAUAGACAUAUGUGUGAAAACACACACACAUACACUCACCACUAUCAUGAUCAUGCACACAUCAACUCCACUGGACCUCUGACUGAAGCUGAUAAAUAUGCAGGCUACGCCUAUCCUGGAUUUCCUUAAAGCAGGCUCCCUUCUCCCAGGCCUUUGAAGGUGGGAAAGGAGACGCGUUGGUGCCCCCUGUAGGCUGUUUCUUACUCCUCUGCGGCACAGCCUGUUGACUCUGGGAGGUGCCAAGUUAACCCAGGCACACUCGUUUGGAACCCUUUUCUGCACUCCAUACCAUACACGUUGGUAGCACCACAGCUACUUAGGCAACAUAAUUGCAAAAAAAUAAAAAUAAAAAAUAAAAAAAAAAAACAGACAGACAGAACAUGCUGUGAUGACCUUGUACCAAAUGUGAAAUGGCAGGAUGUUUGCCCUAAAGGCUAUACCGUACUUACUUGCCUUAACCCACCUGAGUUGUGUGCCCAAGACUCACAGUCCCCCAGUCACUUCCUUUAGGCUCACACACUGCUAUUAAUUCCGAACAAUUUGACUCUGUCUCGCGUCAAGGAAGAAGAUGAAAACUCUCAGCAGCCCCAAUGUGUCUGUGUAAGGAAAUGAUGCUUUACCACUGAGCCUCUUCGGUGGCCACAAAGAGACAAGUACCAACGGCAACAGCAGCUGUCAUCUUCAGGUCUCUGAAACAUGGUCUUCUGACGUAGUCGGGGUGAAACAAAGUAAAAUGUGUGAAUCUACUAAACUCGUUAAUCUACAGAAAGCAGAGAUGGCUUGACUGCUUGGUUGUAUCUCUUGCACGCUAGGUGCUUCCCUGAGUAUCGACAAAUGGCUUUUCCUAACACAGGAAACAGCUGUGGAUUUCUAUGACAGAGGCCAACUGACAAUGUAUUAGCUAUGUUUACUCUUUUAUAUCUAACUCAAAUCCAAGACCCGAUGUAGGUGAACUUUCUUUUCUAUCUUCGGCGUACAAGAUUAUUUUUGGGGCGGGUGGGGGGGAGCAAUAGCUAACUUAGUGAAAUCUUUGAGAUCUCUUUGUGGUAUUUGGGGGAUCUGUUGUGUGUUAGAGUGUAUUUCAAUCCUCCUGUAUUAUUGUGGCAGAAAAAAAAAAAACCUGUGCUGUUGACGUAGUUGGCAAUGAAAUGCCUUUGGAGACAAUAGUAGGUCAAUGUGUUUAUGGCAUAUUCUGAACUCCUAGAAAAUUUAGUUCUAUAUUUUCAAGCACCGUUUGGUUCUCAUUAGUGGGAAACAUAAUUAGCUCAAGCUUAUCAGUAACACAGAUGAGUCAUGUUUUCUUGGGUCCACUUGAGACACGAAAACUGAGUUUUCUUUACCACAUCAUCUUGACGUGCAGUGAAAUUCAGACCGAGAAGUUAAACAUUGUCAUAGAGUAACUUUUUUUUCUUUUGGCACUUACAAUUUUGCUUACGGGGUUAACCCUUUUUGCAGCUUAGCUCAUUCAGAUCUCCAUAAGACAGGUCAGUUGCUGUCUUUGCAAAGAUGUUUUGUGAAACAUGACCACAUACCCAUUUAAAAGCGAUGAAGGAACCGAAAGUAAAUAUCGGAACAUACAUCACUACGUGCGCAAAAAGAUUUCACCCCUAACACUUGAGUUUUCCCAGUGCCUUGUGUAUGGUGGCCCAUACCUACAGGCAUAAAGUGAACAGUUGCAAACACAUUGGUGAAACCUCAUAUGGUGUUUUUAUAGUAAGAUGCAUGUUUAAUGUUUGAAGAAAACUAUUCACCAAUGUACUGUCCCUUUUAUUCCGAAAAUACUAAUUCUAUACAUGCUAGACGUUAUUCUAAUGUCACUACUGAAGUGAGAUUUCACCGUCUUGCUACUGCGAUGGGAGUCCACCUUGUAGCGUGUGUGUAGGGAGGAAAUAAAAUAAGCCGUCACGUUUCUUUUUAAGUUGCAGCCAACUCACCACCAAGUCACUAUCUAUCAUCACCACCAAAUAUUUCAGAAACAGUUGUUGACUGCUAAAGAGUAGUCAGAGGGCGGGCCUUUUUAGGAGCAGCAAGCACAGUCAUGUGGUUGAUUCUAUCUGGGAAACAUCAAAGUUGUACAGCUGUAUCCUCCUCAAAAUCUGGUGAAGAAUGCUAUUUUUCUAGGCUGAGCUUUUGUUAUAAACCUAAUAUUCUGAAAGCAAGAGUUAAUAAUCCUGAUCUGUCUUUUUUUUUCCUCUCCUGCAUUUGUUAAUUCUGAAUGUAUUUUUAACAGAGUGAUUUUUUUGACUUACUAGUGUAAUUUGCAUUUUAAAAAUAAAUGG